GACGAACGCUGGCGGCGUGCUUAACACAUGCAAGUCGAACGGAAAGACCCUGCUUUUGUGGGGUGCUCGAGUGGCGAACGGGUGAGUAACACGUGAGUAACCUGCCCUUGACUUUGGGAUAACUUCAGGAAACUGGGGCUAAUACCGGAUAGGAGCUCCUGCUGCAUGGUGGGGGUUGGAAAGUUUCGGCGGUUGGGGAUGGACUCGCGGCUUAUCAGCUUGUUGGUGGGGUAGUGGCUUACCAAGGCUUUGACGGGUAGCCGGCCUGAGAGGGUGACCGGCCACAUUGGGACUGAGAUACGGCCCAGACUCCUACGGGAGGCAGCAGUGGGGAAUAUUGCACAAUGGGCGGAAGCCUGAUGCAGCAACGCCGCGUGCGGGAUGACGGCCUUCGGGUUGUAACCCGCUUUCGCCUGUGACGAAGCGUGAGUGACGGUAAUGGGUAAAGAAGCACCGGCUAACUACGUG
This 468-nucleotide ribosomal RNA is filed under the name uncultured bacterium. RNAcentral describes it as "partial 16S ribosomal RNA". It matches the Rfam family "Bacterial small subunit ribosomal RNA", at positions 28 to 507 of the family's 1533-position model. The record is from RNAcentral.